GGGGGCGAGGGGCUGCUUACACUGCAAGUCGAGGGGUAUUGGUUUUCGGACGAAGAGACCGGCGCACGGGUGCGUAACGCGUAUGCAAUCUACCUUUUACAGGGGAAUAGCCCAGAGAAAUUUGGAUUAAUGCCCCAUAGUAUAUAUUAAUUGCAUGAUUGAUAUAUUAAAGUUCCAACGGUAAAAGAUGAGCAUGCGUCCCAUUAGUUAGUUGGUAAGGUAACGGCUUACCAAGACGAUGAUGGGUAGGGGUCCUGAGAGGGAGAUCCCCCACACUGGUACUGAGACACGGACCAGACUCCUACGGGAGGCAGCAGUGAGGAAUAUUGGACAAUGGGCGCAAGCCUGAUCCAGCCAUGCCGCGUGCAGGAAGACGGUCCUAUGGAUUGUAAACUGCUUUUGUACGGGAAGAAACACUCCUACGUGUAGGAGCUUGACGGUACCGUAAGAAUAAGGAUCGGCUAACUCCGUGCCAGCAGCCGCGGUAAUACGGAGGAUCCAAGCGUUAUCCGGAAUCAUUGGGUUUAAAGGGUCCGUAGGCGGUUUAGUAAGUCAGUGGUGAAAGCCCAUCGCUCAACGAUGGAACGGCCAUUGAUACUGCUAGACUUGAAUUAUAAGGAAGUAACUAGAAUAUGUAGUGUAGCGGUGAAAUGCUUAGAUAUUACAUGGAAUACCAAUUGCGAAGGCAGGUUACUACUUAUGGAUUGACGCUGAUGGACGAAAGCGUGGGGAGCGAACAGGAUUAGAUACCCUGGUAGUCCACGCCGUAAACGAUGGAUACUAGCUGUUGGGCGCAAGUUCAGUGGUUAAGCGAAAGUGAUAAGUAUCCCACCUGGGGAGUACGUUCGCAAGAAUGAAACUCAAGGAAUUGACGGGGGCCCGCACAAGCGGUGGAGCAUGUGGUUUAAUUCGAUGAUACGCGAGGAACCUUACCAAGGCUUAAAUGUAGAUUGACCGAUUUGGGAAACAGAUCUUUCGCAAGACAAUUUACAAGGUGGCUGCAUGGUUGUCGUCAGCUCGUGCCGUGAGGGUGUCAAGGUUAAGUCCUAUAACGGAGCGCAACCCCUGGUUGGU
RNAcentral lists this ribosomal RNA (1074 nucleotides) under uncultured bacterium. Its description in RNAcentral is "bacterial SSU rRNA". It matches the Rfam family "Bacterial small subunit ribosomal RNA", at positions 35 to 1113 of the family's 1533-position model. The record is from RNAcentral.